This 338-nucleotide ribosomal RNA is filed under the name uncultured eukaryote. RNAcentral describes it as "partial 18S ribosomal RNA". It matches the Rfam family "Eukaryotic small subunit ribosomal RNA", at positions 1470 to 1796 of the family's 1831-position model. The record is from RNAcentral.
CCCUUAGAUGUUCUGGGCCGCACGCGCGCUACACUGAUCGAUUCAACGAGUUUUAUAAUAUUUUGUUUAAAAAAUUUAUAUAUCCUUUGUCGGAAGGCAUGGGUAAUCUUUUAAAUGUCGAUCGUGAUGGGGCUAGAUUCUUGCAAUUAUUAAUCUCCAACGAGGAAUUCCUAGUAAACGCAAGUCAUCAGCUUGCAUUGAUUACGUCCCUGCCCUUUGUACACACCGCCCGUCGCUACUACCGAUUGAAUGCCUAGGUGAUGGUUACGGAGGCCGAUGUCCAUCCGGCGCAAAGUUUUCACAACCUAGGUCAUUUAGAGGAAGUAAAAGUCGUAACA